RNAcentral lists this long non-coding RNA (845 nucleotides) under Solanum tuberosum (potato). RNAcentral's name for it is "long non-coding RNA (STUB_LNC008046)". The record is from RNAcentral. Lineage: Eukaryota; Viridiplantae; Streptophyta; Magnoliopsida; Solanales; Solanaceae.
UUUAAUUCAUUAUUGAUACAAGUUUAAUUUACUAAAUAGGUCAAUGUCUGGUCUUUCAUUAGUUACAUGUUUUUAUUCAUGCUUAAUUCUCUCUUCUAACUCAACUUUAAUAUUUGUGUAUACACUUUUAAAUACAAGUUUAAUUCAUUUUGCAAUUAAUUGGUUGAUUUGUUACGAUUGGAUUACUUGUUUAAUUCAUUAUUGAUACAAGUUUAAUUUACUAAAUAGGUCAAUGUCUGGUCUUUCAUUAGUUACAUGUUUUUAUUCAUGCUUAAUUCUCUCUUCUAACUCAACUUUAAUAUUUGUGUAUACACUUUUAAAUACAAGUUUAAUUCAUUUUGCAAUUAAUUGGUUGAUUUGUUACGAUUGGAUUACUUGUUUAAUUCAUUAUUGAUACAAGUUUUUUUCAAUUUAUAUGCAGAUCAAAGAAUGCUCUUUUGUUUGCUACAUUUUGCAUUCAUGUUUGAUUCUCUUAUAAUAAUUCAACUUUAAUAUGUUUGUAAUACAUUUUUAAUUCAAGUUUAAUUCAUUUUGCAGUUUCUUAUGUCUCUUUAUUUGUUACGAUUAAAUUACUUGUCUAAUUAAUUAUUGAUACAAGUUUUAUUCAGUCUAAAAUCAUUGACUACUCUACGAAAAAAAAGGAAAAAGAGCAAUAGUAAGAAAGGGAGAAAGAGCAACAAAAAAGAAAGGAAGGGAGAAUGAAUAACAAAAAGAAUAAAAAGAAAGAAAGAAAGAAAGGAAGGGAGAAAGAGCGAGACAGAGAAAAGAGAGAAAUUAAAGAAGUUGUUAUAAAUGGUAAUAAUUAAAGAGUAUGUUUAAAAUAAGUAAUUAUUUUUAAAAGAAAU